CGCAGGAAAGUGUAUCGGUUGCACAUCAGGCUCAUAACCUGAAAGUGGUGGGUUCAAUUCCCGCUCCUGCCUCCA
RNAcentral lists this transfer RNA (75 nucleotides) under Siphoviridae sp. ctYh54. RNAcentral's name for it is "tRNA-Met". It matches the Rfam family "tRNA". From Rfam's summary of the family: Transfer RNA (tRNA) molecules are approximately 80 nucleotides in length. Their secondary structure includes four short double-helical elements and three loops (D, anti-codon, and T loops). The record is from RNAcentral. Lineage: Duplodnaviria; Heunggongvirae; Uroviricota; Caudoviricetes.